RNAcentral lists this ribosomal RNA (1374 nucleotides) under Mycolicibacterium helvum. RNAcentral's name for it is "bacterial SSU rRNA". It matches the Rfam family "Bacterial small subunit ribosomal RNA". Lineage: Bacteria; Bacillati; Actinomycetota; Actinomycetes; Mycobacteriales; Mycobacteriaceae. The record is from RNAcentral.
UGGCUCAGGACGAACGCUGGCGGCGUGCUUAACACAUGCAAGUCGAACGGAAAGGCCCUUCGGGGUACUCGAGUGGCGAACGGGUGAGUAACACGUGGGUGAUCUGCCCUGCACUUUGGGAUAAGCCUGGGAAACUGGGUCUAAUACCGGAUAUGAUCAUGGCCUUCAUGGGUUGUGGUGGAAAGCUUUUGCGGUGUGGGAUGGGCCCGCGGCCUAUCAGCUUGUUGGUGGGGUAAUGGCCUACCAAGGCGACGACGGGUAGCCGGCCUGAGAGGGUGUCCGGCCACACUGGGACUGAGAUACGGCCCAGACUCCUACGGGAGGCAGCAGUGGGGAAUAUUGCACAAUGGGCGCAAGCCUGAUGCAGCGACGCCGCGUGAGGGAUGACGGCCUUCGGGUUGUAAACCUCUUUCAGUAGGGACGAAGCGCAAGUGACGGUACCUAUAGAAGAAGGACCGGCCAACUACGUGCCAGCAGCCGCGGUAAUACGUAGGGUCCGAGCGUUGUCCGGAAUUACUGGGCGUAAAGAGCUCGUAGGUGGUUUGUCGCGUUGUUCGUGAAAACUCACAGCUUAACUGUGGGCGUGCGGGCGAUACGGGCAGACUUGAGUACUGCAGGGGAGACUGGAAUUCCUGGUGUAGCGGUGGAAUGCGCAGAUAUCAGGAGGAACACCGGUGGCGAAGGCGGGUCUCUGGGCAGUAACUGACGCUGAGGAGCGAAAGCGUGGGGAGCGAACAGGAUUAGAUACCCUGGUAGUCCACGCCGUAAACGGUGGGUACUAGGUGUGGGUUUCCUUCCUUGGGAUCCGUGCCGUAGCUAACGCAUUAAGUACCCCGCCUGGGGAGUACGGCCGCAAGGCUAAAACUCAAAGAAAUUGACGGGGGCCCGCACAAGCGGCGGAGCAUGUGGAUUAAUUCGAUGCAACGCGAAGAACCUUACCUGGGUUUGACAUGCACAGGACGCCGGCAGAGAUGUCGGUUCCCUUGUGGCCUGUGUGCAGGUGGUGCAUGGCUGUCGUCAGCUCGUGUCGUGAGAUGUUGGGUUAAGUCCCGCAACGAGCGCAACCCUUAUCUUAUGUUGCCAGCGCGUUAUGGCGGGGACUCGUGAGAGACUGCCGGGGUCAACUCGGAGGAAGGUGGGGAUGACGUCAAGUCAUCAUGCCCCUUAUGUCCAGGGCUUCACACAUGCUACAAUGGCCGGUACAAAGGGCUGCGAUGCCGUGAGGUGGAGCGAAUCCUUUCAAAGCCGGUCUCAGUUCGGAUCGAGGUCUGCAACUCGACCCCGUGAAGUCGGAGUCGCUAGUAAUCGCAGAUCAGCAACGCUGCGGUGAAUACGUUCCCGGGCCUUGUACACACCGCCCGUCACGUCAUGAAA